This 1232-nucleotide long non-coding RNA is filed under the name Homo sapiens (human). RNAcentral describes it as "HSALNT0087816". The record is from RNAcentral. Lineage: Eukaryota; Metazoa; Chordata; Mammalia; Primates; Hominidae.
GCCGGGAGCUGGUUUUAAACAGAGUCUGUGAAGAAAGCUGUUUCUGGAGAGAGAAGUAAGACCACAAUUCUUACCUGAGAGGUUCAUGUUGAAAUGAAUGAUUUCUGGCCAGUUUGCGUAUAAUCUGUGUAAAGGUAAAUCAGAAAAAUGUGUGUCCAGGGCACCUUGAAGGCCAGAGUGAUGUGGUAUGAUAUUAAAUCAUUAGACAUAUAAAUAUUAAAAAUGAGAAGAUUUUGUUAGAAUGGAAACGGCUCACCAAAAGGCAGAGACAAGAAUGCAAACAGUAAGUCUAGCUGUCAUUCUCUGUAAUCUGGAGCAAGUCAGGUUUGUCUCUGGACCUUCUCCAGUUGUUUUACAACUUUCUAGACAUGCAGUGUAUCAACCCAACACUUUUAUUAAGCAGCUUUGACAGGGUUUUUGAGAUGACAGCUAGUCGAGAUUCAACUUAGCAUUGUACAGUUUUAUUUCACAAUUGGAACUUUCGGUUUUAAUACUUUUAGGACUUUAUUCAUUAAUGCAACACUUUUUGUUGAACACCUACUAUGUACCAGGGAUUGAUAUAGCUGUAAAUAUGACAUACUUAGUCUCUGUCUUUGUAGUACUUUAAUUCCUGUAACACUUGUUAAAUUGGAUUAUUUUUAUGACCGUAGAGAAUUAGAGGGGGUGAGGGAUUUUAUUAUAUUAAAAUUGCAAUUUCAGUCUCUAGAUUUUAAAAAAUUUGUUCUUGGUCCUAAUUUCUGUUUUUUAGCCCUCCUAAUUUAGAAUUGUUUUUGGGUGCUGUUUAGCUUCUGCGACCAUUAAUAAAACUAAAAAUCUAACCAUAGUGAAGUUUUUGCCUUUUCUUAAGCAUCUUUGUAAAUAGAACCUUGUAAAGCUAGCACCUUUUAUUCUGCUAUUUUGCUGCUACAACAAUGAAGCAUGUGUCUAGCACACAAAGGUGCUUCCAAAGUGCAAAAUCAAACUCUUGUCAAUUACCUACUGUUCUUUUCAUCCUCUCUGUAUUCAAAGGGCUUUGCCUCCUCUAGAACAGCCUUGUCUCAUCCUGCCUGUUGAUCAAACAAAUGACUUAUAUUUGAAAUGUUGAAUGUUUAAUCUCCAAGAGGAAAAUUCUUAUUCAGCAGCAGUCUCUUGUGUUUUAUUCCACCUAACAGUUAAAGCGGCUGCAUGUCUGCCACGAUUCACAUGCCCAGACAGAGGCAGUAACCUGUAAGCAUAUAACCUGCUGGGUUUUU